This 467-nucleotide ribosomal RNA is filed under the name uncultured bacterium. RNAcentral's name for it is "partial 16S ribosomal RNA". It matches the Rfam family "Bacterial small subunit ribosomal RNA", at positions 28 to 506 of the family's 1533-position model. The record is from RNAcentral.
GACGAACGCUGGCGGCGUGCUUAACACAUGCAAGUCGAACGGAAAGGCCCUGCUUUUGUGGGGUGCUCGAGUGGCGAACGGGUGAGUAACACGUGAGUAACCUGCCCUUGACUUUGGGAUAACUUCAGGAAACUGGGGCUAAUACCGGAUAGGAGCUCCUGCUGCAUGGUGGGGGUUGGAAAGUUUCGGCGGUUGGGGAUGGACUCGCGGCUUAUCAGCUUGUUGGUGGGGUAGUGGCUUACCAAGGCUUUGACGGGUAGCCGGCCUGAGAGGGUGACCGGCCACAUGGGGACUGAGAUACGGCCCAGACUCCUACGGGAGGCAGCAGUGGGGAAUAUUGCACAAUGGGCGGAAGCCUGAUGCAGCAACGCCGCGUGCGGGAUGAAGGCCUUCGGGUUGUAAACCGCUUUCGCCUGUGACGAAGCGUGAGUGACGGUAAUGGGGAAAGAAGCACCGGCUAACUACGU